Molecule: long non-coding RNA, 1808 nt
Organism: Heterocephalus glaber (naked mole-rat)
Lineage: Eukaryota; Metazoa; Chordata; Mammalia; Rodentia; Bathyergidae
Source: Ensembl
CAGGCCCUGAGUUCAGUCUCCAGUACCAACAGCAACAACAGCAACAAAAUACUAAUAAUAAAAUGUUUAAUUUUUUUUUUUUUUUUUUUUGGUGCUGGGGAGCAAACUCAGUAAAAUGUUUAAUUUUGAGACAGACUUUUUCUAAAUUGCCUAGGUGAGAUUUGAACUUGUGAUUCUCCUCCCUCAGCCUCCCUGAGGGCUAGGAUUACAGGCCUGAACUCUUUAAGGAGACAGAGUGACUCCGCCUAAAUGAAGCCUGCCUAAAUGAAGCCUGGUGUUGAGAGGGUGAACUUCCUCACUCCAGACCCCAGCUCUGAGCCAUGUGGACAAAGUUUUGCCAGAGCAAGGAGAGUGAUACUUACGGAGUGUGCCUGAAGUCAUUUUGCAAAACAACCAACCAAAAGGCCUUUGACGUCGGAGAGGAUGUAUGUGGGGCAGAAGAACUAACUACGAGAAUCCUGUGCUCACAACAUCUGCAGCUACAACUCGGAGACAUCAUACAGGCAUUUACUGGGUGUGAGCAAUCAGCAUGUUACAGGUCUGACUAGUUUGCAGCUCCAGUGGGCUGCCUGAGGGUUCGGAAGACAGGUUUCACAAAGAAAAAUCACUGUCACCUCAGCUUCAGACAACCACUAAAUUCUGCCUACGAAUCUUGUAGGAGGCGCUUCAUAUCCAUGGAGCAAAUGUGAGCAUAAAGAAAUGGUGUUGGGACAAACAGCCAUCUGUAAGUAAAGUUGGAAGUAUACCUCAUACUGUACCAAAACGAAUUUCUGAUAGAGAAAACAUAAAUGUUAAAAACUUUGAUCAGAAAAUAUAUAUAGCCCAGGGGUGAUGGUGCAUGCCCAUAAUCCCAAGCACUCUGGGAAACUGAGGCAUGAGAUCCCAAGUUUGAGCCCAGCCUGCACAAUUUGGUGAUUGUCACUCAUUCUACCACUAAGCUACACCCACCAUCCUCUGUGUGUGUGUGUGUGUGUGCGCGCGCGCGUGCGCGAGCGAGCGUGUGUGUGUGUGUGUGUGUGUGUGUGUGUGUGUGUGGUCUUGUUGUUGUUUUUAUUUUCUAGUACUGGUGUUGCAUCCAGGUUGAGCAGCCCACCAGGAUCAGAAACUCAGCAGCAAUAACAAAUUAAAGGGAUGGAGUUUAAGAAGGGAAGCCGAUUUAUUUGUAAGGAGGAAAAAAUAGAAGACACAAAGCUGCCAGGAUAGAGAGCAGGGGCUGCAGAUGAUAUGUGUGUGUCGUCGUGUGUGUCGGGGGGGGGGGGUCCGCCCCCGCCCCAGCCCUGGUCCCAGGCUCCUUUUGUUAGGUCUGGGGACCCUUCCUUUCGGGUGGGUGGUAACCUGAUCAGUCUCUGGGCGGUCUUUGGGUGGACUCCAGGUCCCCAGAUCCUAACCUGGGUACUUUUGCCUGUGUGCACAAUCCUUUCGGUGGGCUUUCUUUCACUUCUUGCCCUGUUGUGAUCUGCAAGUUGUUGGGAAGGGAUCCUUUUAAGGUUAGUGACUAAGUAAAGGCGUGUGUGUAUAUCUAGUGCAGUAAUAUUGUGCCUCUACAGUGUUUUUAAAUACUAAAUAAAUUUUCUUGUAAAUUAGGUAGCCAUCCCUUGUCUCCCUGACAUUUUAUUGGGGGGAGUGGUGUCCUGGUUUUCAUGCUUCCGGCUUCCUUCCUGCCCCGCCUAGGGUUCUUCUAAUCUCUCCACUAGAGAGCAUUCCUCCCUUGGCUGUAAAUUCUUAUGCUAAUCACACUAUCCGGUGCUUUCUAAGUCUGAUUUCUCUUUCUCUACCUUUGUCCUUUUAAGUGCACAAAUCCAACUGCC